This 1492-nucleotide ribosomal RNA is filed under the name metagenome. Its description in RNAcentral is "bacterial SSU rRNA". It matches the Rfam family "Bacterial small subunit ribosomal RNA". The record is from RNAcentral.
AGAGUUUGAUCCUGGCUCAGGAUGAACGCUGGCGGCGUGCCUAACACAUGCAAGUCGAACGGAACCUUCGUAAGAGGGUUGAGUGGCGCACGGGUGAGGAACACGUAGCUGACCUGCCUUCCAGCGGGGGAUAACGUCCCGAAAGGGAUGCUAAGACCGCAUAAGCUCACAGGGCUUAGAAACCUGCGAGAAAAAGCUUCGGCUACUGGAAGAGGGGGCUGCGGCCCAUCAUGUAGUUGGCGGGGUAACGGCCCACCAAGCCGACGACGGGUCGGGGAUCUGAGAGGAUGAUCCCCCACACUGGGACUGAGACACGGCCCAGACUCCUACGGGAGGCAGCAGUGAGGGAUAUUGCACAAUGGGCGAAAGCCUGAUGCAGCGACGCCGCGUGGGUGAUGAAGGUCUUCGGAUCGUAAAGCCCUUUUCUGCGUGACGAAAACAGACGGUAGCGCAGGAAUAAGUCUCGGCUAACUACGUGCCAGCAGCCGCGGUAAAACGUAGGAGGCAAGCGUUAUCCGGAGUUACUGGGCGUAAAGCGUGUGUAGGUGGUUAUUCAAGUUCGGUGUGAAAGCGCCCGGCUCAACUGGGCGAGGACAUCGAAGACUGAAUGGCUAGAGGAUGGUAGAGGGGCGUAGAAUUCCGGGUGUAGCGGUGAAAUGUGUAGAGAUCCGGAGGAAUACCAGUGGUGCAGACGGCGCCCUGGGCCAUACCUGACACUGAGACACGAAAGCGUGGGGAGCGAACGGGAUUAGAGACCCCGGUAGUCCACGCCGUAAACGAUGCGAACCAGGUGCGCACUUGUCGCAAGGCAAGGGCGUGCCGCAGCUAACGCCAUAAGUUCGCCGCCUGGGGAGUACGGUCGCAAGGCUAAAACUCAAAGGAAUUGACGGGGGCCCGCACAAGCGGCGGAGCAUGCGGAUUAAUUCGAUGCAACGCGAAGAACCUUACCAAGGCUUGACAUAUGCCUGAAAAGGCUGGAAACAGUCUCCCCGCAUGGCAGGUAUGCAGGUGGUUCAUGGUUGUCGUCAGCUCGUGUCGUGAGAUGUUGGGUUAAGUCCCGCAACGAGCGCAACCCUCGUUCUAUGUUGCCAGCACGUAAUGGUGGGAACUCAUAGGAGACUGCCGGGGUCAACUCGGAGGAAGGUGGGGAUGACGUCAAAUCAUCAUGCCCCUUAUGUCUUGGGCUUCACGCAUGCUACAAUGGCCGGUACAAAGGGCUGCAAUACCGUAAGGUGGAGCGAAUCCCAAAAAGCCGGUCUCAGUUCGGAUUGAGGUCUGCAACUCGACCUCAUGAAGUCGGAGUCGCUAGUAAUCGUGGAUCAGCAACGCCACGGUGAAUACGUUCCCGGGCCUUGUACACACCGCCCGUCAAGUCAUGAAAGUCGGUAACACCCGAAGCCAGUGGCCCAACCGCAAGGAGGGAGCUGUCGAAGGUGGGAUCGGUGAUUAGGACUAAGUCGUAACAAGGUAGCCGUACCGGAAGGUGCGGCUG